AUUGAACGCUGGCGGCAGGCCUAACACAUGCAAGUCGAGCGGAUGAAGGGAGCUUGCUCCUGGAUUCAGCGGCGGACGGGUGAGUAAUGCCUAGGAAUCUGCCUGGUAGUGGGGGAUAACGUCCGGAAACGGGCGCUAAUACCGCAUACGUCCUGAGGGAGAAAGUGGGGGAUCUUCGGACCUCACGCUAUCAGAUGAGCCUAGGUCGGAUUAGCUAGUUGGUGGGGUAAAGGCCUACCAAGGCGACGAUCCGUAACUGGUCUGAGAGGAUGAUCAGCCACACUGGAACUGAGACACGGUCCAGACUCCUACGGGAGGCAGCAGUGGGGAAUAUUGGACAAUGGGCGAAAGCCUGACCCAGCCAUGCCGCGUGUGUGAAGAAGGUCUUCGGAUUGUAAAGCACUUUAAGUUGGGAGGAAGGGCAGUAAGUUAAUACCUUGCUGUUUUGACGUUACUAACAGAAUAAGCACCGGCUAACUUCGUG
RNAcentral lists this ribosomal RNA (484 nucleotides) under uncultured bacterium. Its description in RNAcentral is "partial 16S ribosomal RNA". It matches the Rfam family "Bacterial small subunit ribosomal RNA", at positions 30 to 507 of the family's 1533-position model. The record is from RNAcentral.